AUUUACGAGUCAUCCUUAAAUACAGGAGAGGUGCCGGAAGAUUGGAGGGUGGCAAAUAUUGUGCCUUUUUUCAAGAGGGGCUGCAAGGAAAACGCUGGGAACUAUUGGCCAGUGAGUAGAAAUUACAGGAGAGUAUUCUGAGGGAUAGGUUAUACA
Molecule: long non-coding RNA, 156 nt
Organism: Amblyraja radiata (thorny skate)
Lineage: Eukaryota; Metazoa; Chordata; Chondrichthyes; Rajiformes; Rajidae
Exons: 3
Source: RefSeq, a predicted model, not a curated record